This 253-nucleotide ribosomal RNA is filed under the name uncultured bacterium. RNAcentral's name for it is "partial 16S ribosomal RNA". It matches the Rfam family "Bacterial small subunit ribosomal RNA", at positions 524 to 776 of the family's 1533-position model. The record is from RNAcentral.
UACGUAGGCAGCGAGCGUUGUUCGGAGUUACUGGGCGUAAAGAGUGCGUAGGCGGUUGGCUAAGUUUGGUGUGAAAUCUCCCGGCUCAACUGGGAGGGUGCGCCGAAAACUGGCUGGCUGGAGUGUGGGAGAGGCUAGCGGAAUUCCUGGAGUAGCGGUGAAAUGCGUAGAUAUCAGGAGGAACACCUGCGGUGUAGACGGCUGGCUGGACCACUACUGACGCUGAGGCACGAAAGCGUGGGGAGCAAACAGG